UACUAUAUAUAUAUACACACACACACAUACACAUUAUUAGAUUCUAAAGAUUUCUCGUGGAAAAUUUAAAAAAUGCAAUUUUUCUUAUGGUGUUUUGACGAAUUUUAUCUAAGUAUUAGAAUGUAGUGAACAAACUUAACAACAUAAAUUUGUUCUCACUUAACAAAAUAAAUUAGAAUGUAAGGAACAAAGUUAAUGCAUUUAAUCAGGAAAAAUGAUAUCAUGAUAUAGAUAUAAGUAUAUAUAAUUUUCUCUAUUAAUUGAAGCUUGGAUAAAUAUUUUUUUCUCUUUUUUUUUUUUUGGGUGAUAGAGAAUUUCUACAUAUAAAUAUAAAUUAUCAGGUUCUAUAACGAACGUUUAAGUAAGUCUAUCGUUAGAAUUUAAUUCAAAAUUAAUAAUUUAGUAAUCACUAAAUUAAUGUUGUAAUUUAAAAAUGGUAAUUAAGAAUCUCAAUUAAUUUCAUUUUUGGCUAUAAAAUGAAUAUUCGUUCUCUUUCGUUUCAACCAUUCGUCCUUAUAUGCUACUCUUUUUUAUCGAUCAACUCUAGUACUAACAAAAAGUUAAAAAAUUUGGGAAUCAAACAUGUCUAGCAAAACUCAACAAGUUGGUCUACUAUUGCUUUUGGUCACAUUGGUUGCGAUAUUGGUCCA
This 650-nucleotide long non-coding RNA is filed under the name Carica papaya (papaya). RNAcentral's name for it is "long non-coding RNA (CPAP_LNC008953)". Lineage: Eukaryota; Viridiplantae; Streptophyta; Magnoliopsida; Brassicales; Caricaceae. The record is from RNAcentral.